Molecule: ribosomal RNA, 320 nt
Filed under: uncultured eukaryote
Lineage: Eukaryota
Description: partial 18S ribosomal RNA
Rfam family: Eukaryotic small subunit ribosomal RNA
Source: RNAcentral
CCCCUAGAUGUUCUGGGCCGCACGCGCGCUACACUGAACAGUUCAACAAGUCUUAACCUUGGCCGAUAGGUCUGGGCAAUCUUUGAACGCUGGUCGUGAUGGGGAUAGACUUUUGCAAUUUUUGGUCUUCAACGAGGAAUUCCUAGUAAACGCAAGUCAUCAACUUGCAUUGAUUACGUCCCUGCCCUUUGUACACACCGCCCGUCGCACCUACCGAUUGAAUGGUCCGGUGAAAUCUCGGGACGGCGGCUUGGUCGCUUGCGUCCGACUGCUGAAACUUGAUUAAACCAUAUCAUUUAGAGGAAGGUGAAGUCGUAACA